This 696-nucleotide ribosomal RNA is filed under the name uncultured bacterium. Its description in RNAcentral is "bacterial SSU rRNA". It matches the Rfam family "Bacterial small subunit ribosomal RNA", at positions 32 to 715 of the family's 1533-position model. The record is from RNAcentral.
AACGCUAGCUACAGGCUUAACACAUGCAAGUCGAGGGGAAACGAUAUUGGAAGCUUGCUUCCGAUAGGCGUCGACCGGCGCACGGGUGAGUAACGCGUAUCCAACCUGCCCACCACUUGGGGAUAACCUUGCGAAAGUAAGACUAAUACCCAAUGACGUCUCUAGAAGACAUCUGAAAGGGAUUAAAGAUUUAUCGGUGAUGGAUGGGGAUGCGUCUGAUUAGCUUGUUGGCGGGGUAACGGCCCACCAAGGCGACGAUCAGUAGGGGUUCUGAGAGGAAGGUCCCCCACAUUGGAACUGAGACACGGUCCAAACUCCUACGGGAGGCAGCAGUGAGGAAUAUUGGUCAAUGGACGAGAGUCUGAACCAGCCAAGUAGCGUGCAGGAAGACGGCCCUAUGGGUUGUAAACUGCUUUUAUAAGGGAAUAAAGUGAGUCUCGUGAGACUUUUUGCAUGUACCUUAUGAAUAAGGACCGGCUAAUUCCGUGCCAGCAGCCGCGGUAAUACGGAAGGUCCGGGCGUUAUCCGGAUUUAUUGGGUUUAAAGGGAGCGUAGGCCGGAGAUUAAGCGUGUUGUGAAAUGUAGACGCUCAACGUCUGCACUGCAGCGCGAACUGGUUUCCUUGAGUACGCACAAAGUGGGCGGAAUUCGUGGUGUAGCGGUGAAAUGCUUAGAUAUCACGAAGAACUCCGAUUG